This 352-nucleotide ribosomal RNA is filed under the name uncultured bacterium. RNAcentral's name for it is "bacterial SSU rRNA". It matches the Rfam family "Bacterial small subunit ribosomal RNA", at positions 976 to 1326 of the family's 1533-position model. The record is from RNAcentral.
UAGCCUUGACAUUGAUUGAAUUCACCAGAGAUGGAGAAGUGCCCUUCGGGGAACAUGAAAACAGGUGCUGCACGGCUGUCGUCAGCUCGUGUCGUGAGAUGUUGGGUUAAGUCCCGCAACGAGCGCAACCCUCGUCCUUAGUUGCCAGCAGGUUAAGCUGGGCACUCUAAGGAGACUGCCUUCGUAAGGAGGAGGAAGGUGAGGACGACGUCAAGUCAUCAUGGCCCUUAUGGCUAGGGCUACACACGUGCUACAAUGGGGCGUACAGAGAGUUGCGAUACCGCGAGGUGGAGCCAAUCUCAUAAAGCGUCUCUCAGUUCGGAUUGGAGUCUGCAACUCGACUCCAUGAAGC